GGGGAGAUGCCAGAGUGGACUAAUGGGACCGCCUGCUAAGCGGUUGAGGGGCCAAAAAGCUCCUCCGUGGGUUCGAAUCCCACUCUCCCCGCCU
This 94-nucleotide transfer RNA is filed under the name Chloroflexota bacterium. RNAcentral describes it as "tRNA-Ser". It matches the Rfam family "tRNA". Rfam says of the family: Transfer RNA (tRNA) molecules are approximately 80 nucleotides in length. Their secondary structure includes four short double-helical elements and three loops (D, anti-codon, and T loops). The record is from RNAcentral. Lineage: Bacteria; Bacillati; Chloroflexota.